RNAcentral lists this ribosomal RNA (398 nucleotides) under uncultured bacterium. RNAcentral's name for it is "bacterial SSU rRNA". It matches the Rfam family "Bacterial small subunit ribosomal RNA", at positions 30 to 426 of the family's 1533-position model. The record is from RNAcentral.
AUUGAACGCUGGCGGCAUGCCUUACACAUGCAAGUCGAACGGCAGCACGGGAGCUUGCUCCUGGUGGCGAGUGGCGAACGGGUGAGUAAUACAUCGGAACGUACCCUGAAGUGGGGGAUAACGUAGCGAAAGUUACGCUAAUACCGCAUAUUCUGUGAGCAGGAAAGAGGGGGAUCGCAAGACCUCUUGCUUUAGGAGCGGCCGAUGUCGGAUUAGCUAGUUGGUGAGGUAAAGGCUCACCAAGGCGACGAUCCGUAGCGGGUCUGAGAGGAUGAUCCGCCACACUGGGACUGAGACACGGCCCAGACUCCUACGGGAGGCAGCAGUGGGGAAUUUUGGACAAUGGGCGCAAGCCUGAUCCAGCCAUGCCGCGUGAGUGAAGAAGGCCUUCGGGUUGG